UGUCCACUCGCAGCUGCCCAUUCUCCGC
RNAcentral lists this small RNA (28 nucleotides) under Bombyx mori (domestic silkworm). Its description in RNAcentral is "ovarian small RNA-35665". The record is from RNAcentral. Lineage: Eukaryota; Metazoa; Arthropoda; Insecta; Lepidoptera; Bombycidae.